RNAcentral lists this ribosomal RNA (301 nucleotides) under uncultured bacterium. RNAcentral describes it as "partial 16S ribosomal RNA". It matches the Rfam family "Bacterial small subunit ribosomal RNA", at positions 509 to 807 of the family's 1533-position model. The record is from RNAcentral.
CAGCCGCCACGGUAAUACAGAGGGUGCGAGCGUUAAUCGGAUUUACUGGGCGUAAAGCGUGCGUAGGCGGCUAAUUGAGUCGGAUGUGAAAUCCCUGAGCUUAACUUAGGAAUUGCAUUCGAUACUGGGAAGCUAGAGUAUGGGAGAGGAUGGUAGAAUUCCAGGUGUAGCGGUGAAAUGCGUAGAGAUCUGGAGGAAUACCGAUGGCGAAGGCAGCCAUCUGGCCUAAUACUGACGCUGAGGUACGAAAGCAUGGGGAGCAAACAGGAUUAGAUACCCCAGUAGUCCCUGUCUCUUAUAC